GUUUUAAUAGUUUUUAAAAAAUAUCGAUCUUGUAAAUCGAAGAAAGAGCAAUCUUUAAAACU
RNAcentral lists this transfer RNA (62 nucleotides) under Cassida rubiginosa. Its description in RNAcentral is "tRNA-Thr". The record is from RNAcentral. Lineage: Eukaryota; Metazoa; Arthropoda; Insecta; Coleoptera; Chrysomelidae.